AGCGUACACGGUGGAUGCCCUGGCAGUCAGAGGCGAUGAAGGACGUGCUAAUCUGCGAUAAGCGUCGGUAAGGUGAUAUGAACCGUUAUAACCGGCGAUUUCCGAAUGGGGAAACCCAGUGUGUUUCGACACACUAUCAUUAACUGAAUCCAUAGGUUAAUGAGGCGAACCGGGGGAACUGAAACAUCUAAGUACCCCGAGGAAAAGAAAUCAACCGAGAUUCCCCCAGUAGCGGCGAGCGAACGGGGAGCAGCCCAGAGCCUGAAUCAGUGUGUGUGUUAGUGGAAGCGUCUGGAAAGGCGCGCGAUACAGGGUGACAGCCCCGUACACAAAAAUGCACAUGCUGUGAGCUCGAUGAGUAGGGCGGGACACGUGGUAUCCUGUCUGAAUAUGGGGGGACCAUCCUCCAAGGCUAAAUACUCCUGACUGACCGAUAGUGAACCAGUACCGUGAGGGAAAGGCGAAAAGAACCCCGGCGAGGGGAGUGAAAAAGAACCUGAAACCGUGUACGUACAAGCAGUGGGAGCACGCUUAGGCGUGUGACUGCGUACCUUUUGUAUAAUGGGUCAGCGACUUAUAUUCUGUAGCAAGGUUAACCGAAUAGGGGAGCCGAAGGGAAACCGAGUCUUAACUGGGCGUUAAGUUGCAGGGUAUAGACCCGAAACCCGGUGAUCUAGCCAUGGGCAGGUUGAAGGUUGGGUAACACUAACUGGAGGACCGAACCGACUAAUGUUGAAAAAUUAGCGGAUGACUUGUGGCUGGGGGUGAAAGGCCAAUCAAACCGGGAGAUAGCUGGUUCUCCCCGAAAGCUAUUUAGGUAGCGCCUCGUGAAUUCAUCUCCGGGGGUAGAGCACUGUUUCGGCAAGGGGGUCAUCCCGACUUACCAACCCGAUGCAAACUGCGAAUACCGGAGAAUGUUAUCACGGGAGACACACGGCGGGUGCUAACGUCCGUCGUGAAGAGGGAAACAACCCAGACCGCCAGCUAAGGUCCCAAAGUCAUGGUUAAGUGGGAAACGAUGUGGGAAGGCCCAGACAGCCAGGAUGUUGGCUUAGAAGCAGCCAUCAUUUAAAGAAAGCGUAAUAGCUCACUGGUCGAGUCGGCCUGCGCGGAAGAUGUAACGGGGCUAAACCAUGCACCGAAGCUGCGGCAGCGACGCUUAUGCGUUGUUGGGUAGGGGAGCGUUCUGUAAGCCUGCGAAGGUGUGCUGUGAGGCAUGCUGGAGGUAUCAGAAGUGCGAAUGCUGACAUAAGUAACGAUAAAGCGGGUGAAAAGCCCGCUCGCCGGAAGACCAAGGGUUCCUGUCCAACGUUAAUCGGGGCAGGGUGAGUCGACCCCUAAGGCGAGGCCGAAAGGCGUAGUCGAUGGGAAACAGGUUAAUAUUCCUGUACUUGGUGUUACUGCGAAGGGGGGACGGAGAAGGCUAUGUUGGCCGGGCGACGGUUGUCCCGGUUUAAGCGUGUAGGCUGGUUUUCCAGGCAAAUCCGGAAAAUCAAGGCUGAGGCGUGAUGACGAGGCACUACGGUGCUGAAGCAACAAAUGCCCUGCUUCCAGGAAAAGCCUCUAAGCAUCAGGUAACAUCAAAUCGUACCCCAAACCGACACAGGUGGUCAGGUAGAGAAUACCAAGGCGCUUGAGAGAACUCGGGUGAAGGAACUAGGCAAAAUGGUGCCGUAACUUCGGGAGAAGGCACGCUGAUAUGUAGGUGAAGUCCCUUGCGGAUGGAGCUGAAAUCAGUCGAAGAUACCAGCUGGCUGCAACUGUUUAUUAAAAACACAGCACUGUGCAAACACGAAAGUGGACGUAUACGGUGUGACGCCUGCCCGGUGCCGGAAGGUUAAUUGAUGGGGUCAGCGCAAGCGAAGCUCUUGAUCGAAGCCCCGGUAAACGGCGGCCGUAACUAUAACGGUCCUAAGGUAGCGAAAUUCCUUGUCGGGUAAGUUCCGACCUGCACGAAUGGCGUAAUGAUGGCCAGGCUGUCUCCACCCGAGACUCAGUGAAAUUGAACUCGCUGUGAAGAUGCAGUGUACCCGCGGCAAGACGGAAAGACCCCGUGAACCUUUACUAUAGCUUGACACUGAACAUUGAGCCUUGAUGUGUAGGAUAGGUGGGAGGCUUGGAAGUGUGGACGCCAGUCUGCAUGGAGCCGACCUUGAAAUACCACCCUUUAAUGUUUGAUGUUCUAACGUUGACCCGUAAUCCGGGUUGCGGACAGUGUCUGGUGGGUAGUUUGACUGGGGCGGUCUCCUCCUAAAGAGUAACGGAGGAGCACGAAGGUUGGCUAAUCCUGGUCGGACAUCAGGAGGUUAGUGCAAUGGCAUAAGCCAGCUUGACUGCGAGCGUGACGGCGCGAGCAGGUGCGAAAGCAGGUCAUAGUGAUCCGGUGGUUCUGAAUGGAAGGGCCAUCGCUCAACGGAUAAAAGGUACUCCGGGGAUAACAGGCUGAUACCGCCCAAGAGUUCAUAUCGACGGCGGUGUUUGGCACCUCGAUGUCGGCUCAUCACAUCCUGGGGCUGAAGUAGGUCCCAAGGGUAUGGCUGUUCGCCAUUUAAAGUGGUACGCGAGCUGGGUUUAGAACGUCGUGAGACAGUUCGGUCCCUAUCUGCCGUGGGCGCUGGAGAACUGAGGGGGGCUGCUCCUAGUACGAGAGGACCGGAGUGGACGCAUCACUGGUGUUCGGGUUGUCAUGCCAAUGGCACUGCCCGGUAGCUAAAUGCGGAAGAGAUAAGUGCUGAAAGCAUCUAAGCACGAAACUUGCCCCGAGAUGAGUUCUCCCUGACUCCUUGA
The sequence is a ribosomal RNA, 2787 nucleotides long. It matches the Rfam family "Bacterial large subunit ribosomal RNA".